Dioscorea cayenensis subsp. rotundata (Guinea yam) is the source of this 107-nucleotide small nucleolar RNA. The record is from RefSeq and is a predicted model, not a curated record. Lineage: Eukaryota; Viridiplantae; Streptophyta; Magnoliopsida; Dioscoreales; Dioscoreaceae.
AACCCAUACUGAGGACAUUUCUACAGGAAAUCCUUGAACCUGUCCCAUGUCUCAAAAAGAGACUUCAAUUCCAUUUGCACAAAAGAGGAUAUGUCAUUCCUAAGAUU